This 1531-nucleotide long non-coding RNA is filed under the name Triticum aestivum (bread wheat). RNAcentral describes it as "long non-coding RNA (TAES_LNC022130)". The record is from RNAcentral. Lineage: Eukaryota; Viridiplantae; Streptophyta; Magnoliopsida; Poales; Poaceae.
GGCAACGGAAAAGGGUGGGCGAUGCCGUGACGAGAUGAGGGAAUGAGGCGGAGAAACCGAGCGGACGAGCAACCGGACAGACACAGGUACAUCCACACAGGUGAUCGAUUAAUGGAUCGAUCGUUUCUUUAACAGGCGCACGUACAUGGAAAAGGGAUCGAUUAAUCGAUCGAACCGAUAGCUGCUAGGCAGGCGUGGAUGCACGGUGUGCUGGCCGGUGUCCAGAUCCAUUAAUUACGGGCGCCCAGCCAAAAAAUCUGUACUAUGUAUAAGCACGAAAUUUACCUGGUGCGUCCGCCCCUGUGUCUACUAAGUACAGACGGUGUACUGUUUUGUCCUAGCUUGUUCUGUUUUUUUUCAACCAUUUUUUGUUGUGUAUUCCUUGUUAGUAAAUGCCUCAAUCUUUAUCAUCUGGGGCUAGGCACCAUGUAUUUGGUAGUACAAUGAGUUCAUGUGAAAUCCUCCAAAAUUUUGUUAUCUCGAUUUCUUCUCCAGUUCGGUGGGAGCAGAGUAGGCAAUCAUGGAGGUGGCAGACGCAAUGACUUAGCACAACGGAUGGUUGGCCCCAAGUUUCUACAACUGAGUUCGAGUUUUCUGUGUGUGGGUAAUAAGUACAGUACUUGUACUGUUUUAUCCUUGUACUGUUCUCUUCACCCAUUGUUUGUUGUAUACCCAAUCUUUAUUAACUAGGCAGCACGUAUUUCAUACACAACCUGUUGAUAUGAAUUAUGUCCAAUAUUUUGUUAUCUAUGUAGUCAAAACAACUUCAGUCCGCUUACUAAAAUUCUUCUGUUUUUGUUGCUGCAAUGACGAAAAAACUGUUGUGCCAAUGGAGAACUUGGAUCAAUUGAUAAUAUACCAAUCUUGGGCACUAGACAUCUAUUUCAUAUCAAUGUUUGCUACUGACAUAUGGUAGUUGUAUUAGUUAAUGUUUCUUGCUCCAUGUUGUUUCUUCUUCUAAAAAAUCAAGAGUAAUCUAUCAUGUCAUUCACAAUCUUGCAAAUGUCAUUUUUUCACAAAAGCUAUUUUCUGUGUUUCAGUGCCGGUUAUUUUUUUAUCCAUUUAUGUAUUUCUAAUACCAAGGAAGAGGUUUUCUACAGAAGCUAUUUUCUGUCUUUCAGUGCGCAAAUUCGAAGAAUAUACAUGCAUUUGUAUGUCAAGAUAUGUUGAUUGUUGCAACCAGAAACCAUUUACUACUUUGCUAACCCAUUUCUCACUCCCAAGUAUUUUUUUAUUUCAGCUCGAGCUUCCUUCUGUAACUCCUACAUUGGUGUUUAAAGACUUGGCGGUAAACCGAGUGGUAGUCUUACUAUCUUAAUACUCAACUGCCUACUAUGAGAACUGUAUUUCUGAUUUUAUAAGAACUAUGGAGCUAUGAUCUAAAAAUCCUAUGGAGUUAUGAUCUAAAAAAGAACUAUGGAGUUGUGUGCAAAGAAAGAGAAGGGCAUAAUGUUUCUCAAUUUUCCCUUUGUAUCAGUAUAUGUUUCACAUUAUAUCAUAGGCACAAUUAGUUGAGCUCUCAAGCAGAACU